Non-coding RNA from Acanthosepion pharaonis, 108 nucleotides. The record is from the annotation of a GenBank genome assembly. NCBI's taxonomy places the organism in Eukaryota, Metazoa, Mollusca, Cephalopoda, Sepiida, Sepiidae.
GCCACAUCACGUUGAAACAUCGGUUCCCGUAGGAUCAACGAAGUUAAGCAACGUCCAUCCCAGUCAGUACCUAGAUGGGUGACUGCUUAGGAAUACCAGGAGCAGUAA